UACGUAGGGUGCAAGCGUUGUCCGGAUUUAUUGGGCGUAAAGAGCUCGUAGGCGGUUUGUCGCGUCGGAUGUGAAAACCCAGGGCUCAACCCUGGGCCUGCAUUCGAUACGGGCAGACUAGAGUAUGGCAGGGGAGACUGGAAUUCCUGGUGUAGCGGUGAAAUGCGCAGAUAUCAGGAGGAACACCGGUGGCGAAGGCGGGUCUCUGGGCCAAAACUGACGCUGAGGAGCGAAAGCGUGGGGGAGCGAACAGG
This 254-nucleotide ribosomal RNA is filed under the name uncultured bacterium. RNAcentral's name for it is "partial 16S ribosomal RNA". It matches the Rfam family "Bacterial small subunit ribosomal RNA", at positions 524 to 776 of the family's 1533-position model. The record is from RNAcentral.